UUGGCUCUUGCUUCCUUCCUUCUGGACUUCUGGACUUCUGGUGGCGCGCGGUCGAUCGGUCCCUGUCACGGCCACGGCGGCGUGCCUGCUUGCUUGCUCCCGGUGGGAGGGAGUACGUGCCUAGGUACGUAGGUAAGUCGACGGGGAUGAAUGAGUUCGAUUAAUUGGCUUCCCUGUUGCACGCAGCUGUUGGCAAGUCAGCUAGCUAGAGUGUGUUUGUUUACACACUGCGCUGCUUGCUUUUUGCUACCUCCUGUUUCAAACAUAUUCGAUAUGAUCGACUUCGCGCGCUGCAUAAAGCAAACACACGUAGUGCUAGGUCGUAGGGGUACUAUACGUGAUUUAAUAGUAGGAGUACUAGUAUAUUCCACAUACUGAUAAUUGAUUUGACAUAGCUGCAAAUAUCUAUACCGUGAAUUGCUUGAGCUUGAGAAACUAUAGCUUCACAUCUUGGAUUGGAUGGCCACCAAAUCGAACAUUUCGUCGUGGGCCAUUGGAUAUCAUCUCAACGGAACAGAUCCCCUCCCCAACUCUUGCCCCAGCCCACUAUUCGGAAAAAAAAAAACGCUUGCCCAAUCCGUCAUUGCACAUACACCUUUGCGAUGACCGUUGUCGAUCAG
This 620-nucleotide long non-coding RNA is filed under the name Brachypodium distachyon (stiff brome). RNAcentral describes it as "long non-coding RNA (BDIS_LNC002908)". Lineage: Eukaryota; Viridiplantae; Streptophyta; Magnoliopsida; Poales; Poaceae. The record is from RNAcentral.